Molecule: long non-coding RNA, 536 nt
Filed under: Apteryx owenii (little spotted kiwi)
Lineage: Eukaryota; Metazoa; Chordata; Aves; Apterygiformes; Apterygidae
Description: lncRNA (ENSAOWG00000002449.1)
Source: RNAcentral
UUUUGCAUGGGCAGUGGAGUCCAAGUGACUCCUGUCUCUUGCUGUUGUUGCAGCUGCUGGGAGGAACAGCUGCCAGGAAUGGAAACAACGUAAAGGAAUAUCCAUGAGGAACAGGAGAAGAGGAAAUAAGGAGAAAUAUGCAUUAAAAUGAAAGAAGAGACACAUGGACUUGGAAUGCAAAAGGAGGGAAAUGAAUCUACACAAGACACAUUCUCCUCAAUUAAUGUACCUGAAUCAGAGUUUGAGGGAAGUGUCUCGAUCUAUUUGGGAUUUGGAGCACUGCUUCUGCUUCCUGGGGCACUGGCUCAUACACCCUUGACAGCUGCAUUUCAAUAGAACAAAGGAACUGUAAACCACAAGAAUAAGGCUUGGGAGCACAGGAGAAAGCACAUUUUUUGAGUCCGGCCUCUGAAUCUGCAAAUUGCUCCCACAAGAAAUCAUGGUGGCCAUAAACCUCAGCUUCAGAGUAAAAGCAAAUAACGCACUACUUGAGUCUAGUCUCCCUGACUUUCCUAAUAAAGACACACCAAAAUUCA